Molecule: ribosomal RNA, 440 nt
Filed under: uncultured Oomycota
Lineage: Eukaryota; Oomycota
Description: LSU rRNA
Rfam family: Eukaryotic large subunit ribosomal RNA
Source: RNAcentral
AGCAUAGCGAUUUGGGAUAAGUCCCUUGGAAGAGGGCAGCAUGGAGGGUGAUACUCCCGUCUCUGCUCAGGUUGUCUGUGUGUACGAUACGCUUUCUUUGAGUCGAGUUGUUUGGGAAUACAGCUCAAAGCAGGUGGUAAAUUCCAUCUAAAGCUAAAUAUUGGUGCGAGACCGAUAGCGAACAAGUACCGUGAGGGAAAGAUGAAAAGAACUUUGAAAAGAGAGUUAAAGAGUACCUGAAACUGUUGAAAGGGAACCGUAUCGUUUCUAGUGUGUAUCCUAUGCAUAUUUCAUUGGCGGUUGUAAAAUUGCUGGUGCCCUGUGUAUGGGUGUGACGUCAGAGUCAGUUUGAAUUGCGGGAGAUGGGUAGUGAGGAGGUGCGUCACUUUUGUGAAAGUUACAGCUCGCUAUCUAGUAGCCGUGGUUGAGACUGAGGUGCC